Acanthochromis polyacanthus (spiny chromis) is the source of this 372-nucleotide long non-coding RNA. RefSeq lists it as uncharacterized. The record is from RefSeq and is a predicted model, not a curated record. The transcript is spliced from 3 exons. NCBI's taxonomy places the organism in Eukaryota, Metazoa, Chordata, Actinopteri, Pomacentridae.
UGCCCCCAGGUGGUCAUUUGUGUUACUACAACAACUCAGGAUUAGCAACGUAAACACAACAACCAAAGAACAGAAUAACACACCACAGGAGGCUGCUCCAGGCUGAUGGUGGCGCGGCUGGUUUCAGUGAUGGAGGAGUUGGUGUGGUAGUUGAAGUGGUUGUUGGUGAUCGGCGUUUCUCCCCAAGCAGACUUCCACUGAGCCCACUUCCUCUGCAGUGCCGUUUGGGCCUGCAGUUCAACAUCACAGUGUCAGGGGGAGGAGGAUGUACUGGACUCCCAGCAGAGGGAUGAGGAUGAGGGUGGCUCUCACUGCCUUCAUGUAGGCUGUGGACUCAGCGCAGUGCGUCUCCUUCAGCUUGGUGAUCAGAAC